UACAGAGGGUGCAAGUGUUGUUCGGAAUCAUUGGGCGUAAAGGGCGCGUAGGCGGCGGGAUAAGUCAGAUGUGAAAGCCCUGGGCUUAACCCAGGAAAUGCAUUUGAAACUAUCUUGCUUGAGUGCGGGAGAGGGUAGUGGAAUUCCCGGUGUAGAGGUGAAAUUCGUAGAGAUCGGGAGGAACACCAGUGGCGAAAGCGGCUACCUGGUCCGCAACUGACGCUGAGGCGCGAAAGCGUGGGGAGCAAACAGG
RNAcentral lists this ribosomal RNA (253 nucleotides) under uncultured bacterium. RNAcentral's name for it is "partial 16S ribosomal RNA". It matches the Rfam family "Bacterial small subunit ribosomal RNA", at positions 524 to 776 of the family's 1533-position model. The record is from RNAcentral.